GACGAACGCUGGCGGCGUGCCUAAUACAUGCAAGUUGAGCGCUGAAGGUUGGUACUUGUACCAACUGGAUGAGCAGCGAACUGGUGAGUAACGCGUGGGGAAUCUGCCUUUGAGCGGGGGACAACAUUUGGAAACGAAUGCUAAUACCGCAUAAAAACUUUAAACACAAGUUUUAAGUUUGAAAGAUGCAAUUGCAUCACUCAAAGAUGAUCCCGCGUUGUAUUAGCUAGUUGGUGAGGUAAAGGCUCACCAAGGCGAUGAUACAUAGCCGACCUGAGAGGGUGAUCGGCCACAUUGGGACUGAGACACGGCCCAAACUCCUACGGGAGGCAGCAGUAGGGAAUCUUCGGCAAUGGACGAAAGUCUGACCGAGCAACGCCGCGUGAGUGGAGAAGGUUUUCGGAUCGUAAAACUCUGUUGGUAGAGAAGAACGUUGGUGAGAGUGGAAAGCUCAUCAAGUGACGGUAACUACCCAGAAAGGGACGGCUAACUACGUG
RNAcentral lists this ribosomal RNA (497 nucleotides) under uncultured bacterium. Its description in RNAcentral is "partial 16S ribosomal RNA". It matches the Rfam family "Bacterial small subunit ribosomal RNA", at positions 28 to 507 of the family's 1533-position model. The record is from RNAcentral.